This 492-nucleotide ribosomal RNA is filed under the name uncultured bacterium. Its description in RNAcentral is "partial 16S ribosomal RNA". It matches the Rfam family "Bacterial small subunit ribosomal RNA", at positions 29 to 507 of the family's 1533-position model. The record is from RNAcentral.
AGUGAACGCUGGCGGUAGGCCUAACACAUGCAAGUCGAACGGCAGCACAGUAAGAGCUUGCUCUUACGGGUGGCGAGUGGCGGACGGGUGAGGAAUACAUCGGAAUCUACUUUUUCGUGGGGGAUAACGUAGGGAAACUUACGCUAAUACCGCAUACGACCUACGGGUGAAAGCAGGGGAUCUUCGGACCUUGCGCGAUUGAAUGAGCCGAUGUCGGAUUAGCCAGUUGGCGGGGUAAAGGCCCACCAAGGCGACGAUCCGUAGCUGGUCUGAGAGGAUGAUCAGCCACACUAGAACUGAGACACGGUCCAGACUCCUACGGGAGGCAGCAGUGGGGAAUAUUGGACAAUGGGCGCAAGCCUGAUCCAGCCAUACCGCGUGGGUGAAGAAGGCCUUCGGGUUGUAAAGCCCUUUUGUUGGGAAAGAAAAGCAGCAGGUUAAUACCCCGCUGUUCUGACGGUACCCAAAGAAUAAGCACCGGCUAACUUCGUG